UACAUUUUCAUUUAGCGAACGGCCUUGCACGUUUUUUGCAUCGUCUUCAUUAAAAACAGUAACGCUCACAUUGUUUUCAUCAAGUAAAGUUGUUACUUCGUCAAUUUCACUGCCCGAGUCGUCAUAAUUUCUGCCUUCACUGCGUUGGUCGGAAUUCUCAAAUUCAAAGUAACUUGUAUUCGAUUCGGUGUCUGACUCGCUGCCAUUGGACACAGUUGUGUCUUCGAGUUUAUUUAAAAAUGUUGUGGUUUGUCGUCCACUUUUAGUAGUAUAUCUUGACACUCUUCCCCAAGAAUUGCCUGCUAAUGUUUUGAUGGAUCAUUUCCCAUCUUUUGGAUUUGUCUCUGGAAGAUUUUCUCCUCAAUACUCCCAGAGGUCUCUUCUGCCUUCCUCUCCAGACCCUAGCAAGUGACUGAGCAUCACUUGCUGGAUUCCAGUCCAAGUCGAAAAGAAUCACUCGAGAGGCGCCGUCCAGAUUCAAGCCGGUACCACCAGCUUUGGCACUAAGAAGCAUAACAACUAGAAUGAAAAAAUAAUAUAAUACAAAACUUAUAAAUUUUGAAAAAAAUUUACAUGUUUUUGAAUUGGGAUUGUUAAAAUCAGUCACAAUUUUCAUCCUGUCUUUUGAAGGCACUUGCCCAUCAAUCUUGCUGAAUGUAAAGUUUUUCUGCUCACACAGCUUCUGGAGAAUUUUCAGAGUCUGCAAAUAAUCAAGAAAUAUAAAUGUGAACUGAUAAAAAAGGGUUCAAUUCAAUGUGUACCUCAACAAAGUACGAUACCACCAGCACUCGGUCAAUCUGACUUCUAUGGCCUGCAGCAAUCUUCUCCUUGUUAGCCUCAUGCAGAAACUCAAGGAUCGAAGCAACAACUUUGAGUUUCCCUGACAUAUCGACAAAGUCAAAGUGAUGUCCUCCUGACUGGAGCUCCUGUUGUAACUGCCUCCUCAAUUUACCCUGUCAAUUUCAGUUUCAUAAAAAAAUAUUCUUUGAAAUAAAAUAUCAAAGUAACCUCUUCGUUUUCCAAGUCUUCUGGUCGGAGUUUCAUAAGUUGCGGAUGACUGCAAAUUUGCCUAAGGCUAAUGAUGGCUCCCAACGCGUUUUUGUUUGCUGUUGAUAUGUCCAUUUCUUUCCAGACCUCGUCAUCGCCCCAGUAAAAACUGAGAGUUGAGCGAUACAAAUCCUCCUUUAACAAAAAUCAACACCAAAAUUGUAAGCUAAUUAAAAUGUAAAUUUAAUUUUGAUAACUACACCUGCAACGGACUGGCAGCACAGUAAAGAAUGAGAUCCUGUUUUGGUGGCAAGUACUGCAGAUUGAGUUCUGCAGGGCGGCCAAGCACAAAAGGUGAAGUCAGUCUCAAAAGCUCUUCUUUCCUGUCUUUGCCUAAUUCUUUUUCCUCGUCUUUGCAGUCAGCAAGGUUGCCUCUCUCGAUGGGAGUUGCAAACUGAGUCAUGAAAUCUAAAUUUAUACCAAUGAAUAAAAAUUAUACAUGAUUAUUCAUCAGAAAAUACCUCGUCGAGUUCCAAAAAUCCCAGGAUUUGCAAAAUCCAAGAGCUCAAAAUAUUCCAUCAUGUUGUUUUGACACGGACUGCCGCUUAAGAGGAUUUUGCGUUUGCACUGCAAGCGCCGCAGUUCCUUAAAAAGAUUUAUUGCUCAUCGCCUGUCAUCCCCAUGAGACACUCGUACAUGAACCUUACUCCCUCUUUUUGAUGAGGACGUAAGUGCCGUGCCAAAAAUCCAUCAACUGUCACUGUGUUAACUGGGCGCCCUUCGGGAUUAAAUAUCAACUGGAAAGAAAUAAAAUAGGCCGGGUAAGAUUUUUUUUUAAUAAUAAAUUAUCAUAUCUUUUUGAAGGAAUAUAAUUUAUUCACAAUCCUCAUUUUCUUCUACCUGGUGUUUUGGGCUUGGCUUGGGCAUUUCUAGGUACCAUUCUUCAUUCACGUCAUUUUCUCUGCUUAGUUGAAACCUUUUUCGAUUGGGCUGAGCGAAGGUUGAAUCUGGCUUUCUCUUCUCCGCCUCGACAACCACUUUGCUGACAAGUCCCAGAAACUAAAUAUCUCAUUGUCAAUUAACAAAAUCUAACUUUUGAUAAAGUUUUGUACCUCAACUUCCUUUCCACCGAUUACGAGUUGAGUACCCUCUUCAAGUACAAUGUCAUCUUUCACUUUAGAAAUUCUGCCCAUCUCUUUACCAUUCUCGUCCUUUACAAAUAAAAAUUUAAUGUAUUUUAUUAUAA
Neocloeon triangulifer is the source of this 2233-nucleotide long non-coding RNA. RefSeq lists it as uncharacterized. The transcript has 4 exons. NCBI's taxonomy places the organism in Eukaryota, Metazoa, Arthropoda, Insecta, Ephemeroptera, Baetidae. The record is from RefSeq and is a predicted model, not a curated record.